AUUUAAUUUGCAAAUAAUUGUAAAUUUUGAUAAAACUUGAUAUUUAUUCACAUAGCAGCGAAAAUAAAUGUCUGACAGUCAUAUGCUGUUAUGAAAGAUCUGCUCUAUAAAAUAAGAGAAAGCAUGGGAAAACUAUAUUAUAUUCAGUUUAAUUUGUCAGGAAAGAAUUUCUACAGCAAACUACUUGCUAGAAUUAUACAUAAAAAAUGGAAUGUAUUUAUAAUUAACUUACCUACAGAAAAUCUUCCGCAUCUUCUCUUUUGGAAAAUAUAUGAACUGUCAUAUCUUGUUCCUGUGAGUCGGUGUACCCAGAUAUCACCAGCUCCGUCACUUGAGAAGAUUUUUUCGUCUGAGAACACGACCGUAUUCCAAUCUAAAUGGUUCCAAUGUUGAUAUUGAUACG
RNAcentral lists this long non-coding RNA (403 nucleotides) under Androctonus crassicauda. Lineage: Eukaryota; Metazoa; Arthropoda; Arachnida; Scorpiones; Buthidae. The record is from RNAcentral.